RNAcentral lists this long non-coding RNA (1366 nucleotides) under Nicotiana tabacum (common tobacco). Its description in RNAcentral is "long non-coding RNA (NTAB_LNC003448)". Lineage: Eukaryota; Viridiplantae; Streptophyta; Magnoliopsida; Solanales; Solanaceae. The record is from RNAcentral.
UAUUGUGCAGCAUAUCUUUAACAACAACCAUUAGCUCUUGCAAGAUAGCCUUUUGUCUUUCCAUUGAUGUACUAACUCCACCAAGUUCCUGAAAAAGCAACUUCAGGUUAGCACAUGCAAUUAAGUAAUACCUGAAGUAAUCGAAACAGUAAUUAGAAAGGAAAGCAAGAGAAUUAGACUAUAAAAUGUUUAAUAUCAGCGGCAAAUAAUAUCCUCAAUCAGAAUAAGAUGAGCAUUGUUAGGUGGUAUGAAUUAUGAAAAUCUGAAUAACUCAAAAAUCAGCUCAAGACCUCUGGAUCAUCAUCAGUCUGUGCUAACCACAAAUAGACACAAGAAAUAUAGCUAUAUAUAUAGACUGCAUGCAAGAAGAAUAAAUCAGCUUGACCAAAAGUAGACAUUGAUAGAAAGAAUCUGGUUUUCAAAUACUUCCAAUAAUUAUUUUCCCACAAAGAACAGUUCUACAACCCAAAAUUUGAUUACUUAAUGUUUGAUAACUAGUCCAACUUAGUGGAUAGACAACAUAACCAUGUCCAUUCUUGUGAGUUUCAAAGCGCCAAUAAAACUAGUACAUUGCAUAUAUCAUAUGAUCAACAAUAAAAACCUUUCUUUUUGGUAACUGAGCCCGAAGUUUUACUAAAGAGUUAAUUCUAGAGGAAUUAUGAUUUAAAAAUAAAAGAAUCUUAAGAUAAGACCUGAAUGCUGCGACUAGCAUCCACCUCAAAGCCAUCAUUGGCCACUGAUGAAUCAUAAAGUCGGCUACACUGGUCCAGCCUUUGACUUUUAUCCCUGUAUUCCAGUAUUCUCUCCCUAUAUCCACAAGCACAGAAUACAAAUUAGAAAACUUCUCCAACAAAAAGGAAAAAAGAAAUUAAAAAGCAACUUCAAUCUUAUUUAUAUUAAAUCAACUUACUCAAUUUGCAGCAGGAGCUUCUGUGAAUCCGGGUGGAGGUCUGCCCAUUUGGUACUGUAAGUGGCUGGCGUCUUAUCGUUGGUGAAAAGGUACAACUGCUGCUGCUGUUGCUGUGACUGUUGUUGCUGCUGCAGUUGUUGUUGUUGCAAUUGCAGUUGCAGUUGGUGUUGUUGUUGUUGUUGUUGUUGUUGCUGUUGCUGCUGCUGAAAUUGAAGUUGCUGUUGUUGUUGCGGCUGCUGCGAAAAGGGAGUGAUCUGCGAGAAUGGCGACGACUGUUGCUGACCAGGAGUUUGGAAUGGAGACGACUGUUGCUGGCCGGGAAUUUGGAAUGGCGACGACUGUUGCUGGCCGGGAGUUUGGAAUGGGGACGACUGUUGCUGGCCGGGAGUUUGGAAAGGCGACGACUGUUGCUGGCCGGCAAUUUGGAAUGGAGACGGCUGUUGCUGGCCGGGAGUU